RNAcentral lists this ribosomal RNA (497 nucleotides) under uncultured bacterium. RNAcentral describes it as "partial 16S ribosomal RNA". It matches the Rfam family "Bacterial small subunit ribosomal RNA", at positions 28 to 507 of the family's 1533-position model. The record is from RNAcentral.
GAUGAACGCUGGCGGCGUGCCUAAUACAUGCAAGUCGAGCGAACGGACGAGAAGCUUGCUUCUCUGAUGUUAGCGGCGGACGGGUGAGUAACACGUGUAUAACCUACCUAUAAGACUGGGGUAACUUCGGGAAACCGGAGCUAAUACCGGAUAAUAUUUUGAACCGCAUGGUUCAAAAGUGAAAGACGGUCUUGCUGUCACUUAUAGAUGGAUCCGCGCUGCAUUAGCUAGUUGGUAAGGUAACGGCUUACCAAGGCAACGAUGCAUAGCCGACCUGAGAGGGUGAUCGGCCACACUGGAACUGAGACACGGUCCAGACUCCUACGGGAGGCAGCAGUAGGGAAUCUUCCGCAAUGGGCGAAAGCCUGACGGAGCAACGCCGCGUGAGUGAUGAAGGUCUUCGGAUCGUAAAACUCUGUUAUUAGGGAAGAACAUAUGUGUAAGUAACUGUGCACAUCUUGACGGUACCUAAUCAGAAAGCCACGGCUAACUACGUG